Long non-coding RNA from Eriocheir sinensis (Chinese mitten crab), 2249 nucleotides. RefSeq lists it as uncharacterized. NCBI's taxonomy places the organism in Eukaryota, Metazoa, Arthropoda, Malacostraca, Decapoda, Varunidae. The transcript has 4 exons. The record is from RefSeq and is a predicted model, not a curated record.
ACAGUGAAGUGAUUGCCAACGAAGAAGCAGCGUCCGAACCGGUGAAGCUCCACUCGCUGUUCUGCCCUCCGCCUUCAGUGCUGGCGUGGCCGGGAGAUGGGGAGGAUGUUGUGUGCUGCUCUCCGUCAAGGCUGAUGCUGGGGUCCGGUGGUGUUGGUAACUGUGACUAGAGAAGAGGACCAGCUGACAUUUGACUCAUGGAGUGUGGAGCUGUACGACCUCUUAGCACCGUGGGACGUCUUCAGCAACAUCAUCUCCGCCCGAUCGUGAACCAGAUUGACAGACGCCAGGCCCCGAGGCGCAUCCAGAAUCCAGAAACAAGCCAACAACCCUCCGCCUGCCCUCUUACGAACAAGUGACCCAGGUGGUUGGCUGACUCUGGAGGAAGCAAUGGGAGAAUUCCUCAUCUUCCGUGGUCUUCUCCUGCGAGAGCUUGACCAUGGACUUCUCCGACGCCAUCUUUCAUCUGGGCCACUCACACACGCUGCCUCUACGCCCAGCACCUCGGCCUGAACACAACCGGAGCGGCACAGAAGCAAGACGUCGUGUGGGUCUUGAGUGGUCUUGCUCUCUCCCCUAUAUGUGGCUCUGGCUGGCAGGACCUAAGAGGAGUGUUGUUCCCCCUUAGGUGUGUCUUCAGGCGCCUUGCCAUCGAGUCGUCACCAAGAACGUUCUCCUUCGAUGUGUCGCACUCUCCUGUUCCCACCGAGGCAGCACCAGAUACUAACAAUGUCAAGCAGUACAAGACGACCAAUAAAGAUACAAUACAAUAAUGCUUAGGUUUAUCUAUCCAUAUUAGUGAUGAAAAGACUUGGGACCCUCUUUCUACAACGGUAAUUAAUUUAGUUCGUGGAGGAUUGUCUUUACAGCUUGCCUCCCCCGCUUCAACCUUUUCAGCUUACUCCUCCUCUCUGCUCCGGCAAAAAGGUUCCAAUUUCAUCUCUCCACCUGCUGCUUCUGUCCGCCCUAAUGUCUAUAAUUCCUGUGUUACCGCUUAGUUACUUUCGUUGUCCAUCUGUUAUCAGUUCAUGAGUAGAAUUGAUAACACCUAGGAGGUAGUGAAAGCAACAGAGUGGUAACCGGGGAGUUGUAGAAGUCAAGGCAGGUGGAGAGAUGAAACUGGAACCUUUGCCGUAUAGAGUACAAUGAAAAGAUUAGAGCUUGAUUAGGGAGAGGGAUUUGUCAAGGAGAGAGAAAUUGAUAAGGGGGAAUAUUACUCGGGAGAAAAUAUAUCUAAGAAAAUGUCUAUAAGGAAAAUACAUAGAAGAUGAAUCUGUGUAUCAAUAUGUUCAAUGAGGAGUAUGUCCAAGGGAUAAUAUGACUAGAAGGGGGAUCUGUCAACAGCGUAUAUACUGACCCUGGCUAAUACCAUGCUUCAUCCUCUCCCAGAAGUCGGCGGCAGCGCACGGUUCAGCCUCACGGUGCAGGAACUCACACCUCAAGCUCGGGGGGCGGGGCGAAGAUUCGACACACACUUAAGACGAGAGACUGAUCUGAAAGAGGUGGCGCAUUAGACGUUGAGACAGGCGGAAAGGGAUAAGGGAAGGUGACAGUUUGAGGGAGAGAUAUGAUGUAAGCGGGAGUAUAAGUUAGGGAGAGGUGUAAGAAGUAGGACAGACAGACGGAGGAGGAGAGGGUGAAAGGUGACAGUUUGUUUUGGUAGGAAGGCAAAGACAGGGAAGAAAGGGAGUGGGAGAGAUAGGAGUUAAGGGGGUUGUAUAAAACUGCUCGAGUGAUGGGAAUGCAAGUUAGGGAGAGGCGAGAACUAGGGCAGACAGACGGAGGAGGAGGAAGAGGAAUGCGAAGUGGAAAGGGAGAUGGCAAAUGAUAAGAAGGGACACACGAAGAGUAAGGAAGGGAGAAAAACAAGGGAACAGGGAUAAAAAAGGGAGAGACGAAGUAAUGGGAAGAGUCGGUUAGAGGGAUGGAGAAGCAGAGACGAAUAGAAUUAACUAGUUCCUGAAAAUCCAUCCAUGUAUUCUGUUUGACACACACACACACACACACACAUACACAUACACACACACACACACCUAUUGUCAAAACUUAAAAACAUGAACCUGGUAAAAACACGAAAGAAUGAAAAGAUAUUACAAGCGCACACACACACACCCACCUAUUGUCAAAACUUCAAACAUGAACCGGAAAAAAACACGAAAAAAUGGAAAGAAAUAUUACAAGCGCACGCACACACACACACACACACACACACACACACACACACACACACACACACACACACACACACA